UGCUUCCUACGGGAGGCAGCGGUAGGGAAUCUUCCACAAUGGGCGAAAGCCUGAUGGAGCAACGCCGCGUGGGUGAAGGAGGUCUUCGGAUCGUAAAACCCUGUUGUUAGAGAAGAAAGAGCGUGAGAGUAACUGUUCACGUUUCGACGGUAUCUAACCAGAAAGCCACGGCUAACUACGUGCCAGCAGCCGAGGUAAUACGUAGGUGGCAAGCGUUAUCCGGAUUUAUUGGGCGUA
This 237-nucleotide ribosomal RNA is filed under the name uncultured bacterium. RNAcentral describes it as "partial 16S ribosomal RNA". It matches the Rfam family "Bacterial small subunit ribosomal RNA", at positions 333 to 562 of the family's 1533-position model. The record is from RNAcentral.